This is an RNA transcript of Nasonia vitripennis (jewel wasp), 1822 nucleotides long. It is a transcript of the gene named alpha-glucosidase-like pseudogene, with no coding region annotated. The transcript has a single exon. NCBI's taxonomy places the organism in Eukaryota, Metazoa, Arthropoda, Insecta, Hymenoptera, Pteromalidae. The record is from RefSeq and is marked validated.
GAAAACAUUCAUUCUCCACAAAGAUGUGGAAAUCGUUGGUGUUGUGUCUUGCGCUCUCCGCACUUUCCAUCUCGUCCACAAAACCGUUCAGAAAGUCAUUGCGAUGGUGGGACAACAGCAUCAUCUAUCAAGUUUACCCUCGUAGUUUCAAGGACAGCAAUGGCGACGGCGUCGGCGAUCUCAAUGGAAUCACCAGCAAACUCGAGCACAUCGCGGAAAUCGCCGAUACGUUUUAGAUUUCGCCGAUAUUUUAUAGUCCCCAACGAAACUUUGGCUAUGACAUCUCAAACUACACAGCCAUACAUCCUGAGUACGGUACGCUACAAGAUUUUGAUCGUCUUGUAGCUAAAGCCAAACGUUUGGGAUUGAGAGUUUUGUUGGAUUUCGUGCCGAAUCACACUUCGGAUGAACACGGAUGGUUCAAGAAGAGCAUCAAAGGUAUUCCGCCCUACGACGAUUAUUACAUCUGGAAGGACGCCAAGGUAGGACCUAAUGGCACUAAAUUGCCUCCAAAUAAUUGGUUGUCAUUCUUCACCGGCAUGGGGAUGGAACGAAGAGCAUGGACAGUACUACUACCACAAUUACGCAUUUCACAACCAGAUCUGAACUACCGCAGCCCAAAGUUACGAGAGGAGAUGCAGAACGUUUUAAAAUUCUGGUUGGAUCGCGGCAUUGAUGGAUUUCGUGUAGACGCAAUCGCUCACUUGAUCGAAGACAAAGAAUGGCGGAACGAACCCAGAUCCAAUCAAGAUGUUCUACCCAACGACUACAAUUAUCUCGAACACAUCUAUACCCGGGACCUGAAUGAAACCUACGACGUUGUCAGUUCAUGGAGAAAAUUCUUCGACGAGUACUCCAAGGUUAAUGGAGUCGACAGAAAGGUGCUACUGAUGGAAGUUGGUUCCAAGUUAAAUUUCACUUUAAAGUACUACGACAUUGAUGUAGAUCCCUUCAACUUUGGAUUCGUUCACCAUCUGAAUAAUGACUCCACGGCGUUGGACGUUGGCAAAAGCGUUGAAAAUUGGAUGCAGAAUAUGCCCAAAGGUAAAGUGGCCAACUGGAUUGUAGGCAAUCAUGACGUUCACAGAGUCGCAUCCAGAUUCGGCUACGCCAACAACAGGGCCGAUCAGAUGUCGAUGCUGUCUAUCGUACUACCAGGGAUUACCAUCAUCUACAACGGCGACGAGAUUGGUAUGGUGAACAGAUUUUUCACCUACAAAGAGACCGUGGAUCCAGCUGGCUGCAACGCAGGUCCUGAAAGGUACCAGCUAAAGUCCAGGGAUCCAGAGAGGACACCUUAUCAGUGGGAUGACACAGCGAGUGCCGGAUUUUCGACAAAUCCCAAAACCUGGCUGCCAGUACACGAUAAUUACAAGUCUCUAAAUCUAGCUGCACAGAAGAAAGAAGAAGUUUCGCACUUCCAGGUCUUUAAAGCCUUGUCCAAAUUAAAGAAACUACCAAUUAUGACUAAAGGAUACUACAAGACUCUGCUCAUCAAAGAUAACGUGUUAGCUAUCGUCAGAUAUUAUCCUGGACAAGACACUGUUGCAUUAUUUAUUAAUUUUAGUGAUCAGGACGAAGCAAUAAUUGAUCGAUGGCUAAUCAAUCCAACUGAAGAAACGACUGUCGUCGUAGCAAGCGUUAAAUCUGGACUGAAAACUGGUGACCCCAUCAGUGCGAAGAAAUUUGUGAUUCCUGGUUCUGCCUCCGUGAUUACUUCUUCGCGAAAAUUAGUGUCAAGUUUAUUCAACACAGUAUAAUCAACAUUUAUUUUGUUACUGUGACAAUAUUAUAUCAAUACAAUUAACGUGAUCUUGUAUAA